UACGGAGGGUGCAAGCGUUAUCCGGAUUCACUGGGUUUAAAGGGUGCGUAGGUGGGCAGGUAAGUCAGUGGUGAAAUCUCCGGGCUUAACCCGGAAACUGCCAUUGAUACUAUCAGUCUUGAAUACCGUGGAGGUAAGCGGAAUAUGUCAUGUAGCGGUGAAAUGCUUAGAUAUGACAUAGAACACCAAUUGCGAAGGCAGCUCACUACACGAAUAUUGACACUGAGGCACGAAAGCGUGGGGAUCAAACAGG
Molecule: ribosomal RNA, 253 nt
Filed under: uncultured bacterium
Lineage: Bacteria
Description: partial 16S ribosomal RNA
Rfam family: Bacterial small subunit ribosomal RNA
Source: RNAcentral